RNAcentral lists this long non-coding RNA (1337 nucleotides) under Apteryx owenii (little spotted kiwi). Its description in RNAcentral is "lncRNA (ENSAOWG00000014126.1)". The record is from RNAcentral. Lineage: Eukaryota; Metazoa; Chordata; Aves; Apterygiformes; Apterygidae.
GCCUUUGUUACCAGUGGCCUGUUUUUAUCACAACUUAAAAGAAACCUAAGCUUGCAGAAGCUUGCAGCUUGUUCCUACCUAAAAUAAUGUUAGUAUUCUGUAUUCCCUUUGUGCUUUCCUUCAUUAAAUGUUCCAGCAUGAAUCAGAUCUUCUUCUCCUAAUAGCUAGAGAGGGUUUCAUCUACUGCUGUAGCCUUGGAGGAGUCUUGGUAGCCUCCUGUUUCCAGGGGCUGGCCAGCCGUGUUGGAAGUGCUGAGGAGAACUGUACAUUUCUUUCCAAGCCAGAGAAAGCAUCUGCCUUUGCGCUCAAGAAGAUAGUUUGAACAUCCUCUAAACAGAAGGAGCUGUAACUGGGAUCCCACUAACAGCAAGUGUACCGUACUGGAAGGAAGCUGAAACUGCUUCAUUGCAGUGGGAAGGUGAGCAAGAAGAAUCCUCCCCUUUUGAAACUUCCAAUAUCAUGUCAUCAUUAAUCUGUCUUCCACUGAUAGUGAAGUUUUACUUGCUCCAGUUGGAAAAUGCUGCARUAGAUGAUACUGUUUUGCUGUUUGCUCAAGCAGUGUUGGCUGUUCUGAGGAGCUCUUCCGGUUUGACUCUUCUUGCUUUGGUCUGAGAUAGACUAGUGAUUACUCUCUGCCCAUGUGGAACGGCAUUCUGCACAUUAUGUAACAGCAAUCCACCUCCUUAAUUAGGGAGCAAGAUGCACAGAUUCCAGAGAAGACUUGUCCCUCUUAGUCAGAAGACAUAUGAGGUGUGCGGGGGAGCCUUUGUUCUUGCUGGAAGCUAAGGGAAGGAGCAGAAUUUAACUUCAUCAUCCAGUUGCAUUAAUUUAGUUUCUUUUUUUAAUCUAGCCUUUGUUGGAACGUUUGUACGUACUUGUUAACUAAUAUUUCAGAAACAGGAGAUGCUGCAAACAGUGACUUUCUCAUUCCAUACGAUAGGAUUUUUACUCUGUGCUAGAAUAUUAAAUACUGGAGAUGUCAUGUCUUCUCCAUGGCCUUUUAACAGAAUGGUUAGGGUAGAGGCAGCAGUUUCAACACAUGAUUUAAGGUAAGUGCCUCAUUUGUUCCCUACUGUUUUCUCUGAACUUUGGCAUCGCAUUAAUUAUACUGAAACUGCUCCUUUCUGGAAGUACACGACAAGGCAAAACUAGCGUUUUUCAUCCAUUCUGUUGAGGACAGCUCUUGCAAAUCACCUUGUAUUCCAUUAAAAUUAUUAAAUCAUCGGUUCCAGUCUUCCCUGUACAAACAAUCAACACUAAAACAUUAUCUGGUAGUGCUGACUAACAAAUCUGCAAUUAGUAAUCUCCAGUUAAUGAAGCUGCAUGGUGAUUAAAGC